Molecule: ribosomal RNA, 320 nt
Filed under: uncultured eukaryote
Lineage: Eukaryota
Description: partial 18S ribosomal RNA
Rfam family: Eukaryotic small subunit ribosomal RNA
Source: RNAcentral
CCCUUAGAUGUUCUGGGCUGCACGCGUGUUACAAUCGGGAGUACAACAAGAUUGCAAAUCCUAGUGGAUGAGUGGUUCUUCGAAAUUUUCUGAAGACUGGGAUAGUUGAUUGAAAUUAUUCAACUCAAACGAGGAAUUCCUUGUAAUUGUAAUUCAUUAUAUUGUAAUGAAUACGUCCCCGCCCUUUGUACACACCGCCCGUCGCUCCUACCGAUUGAACGAUCCGGUGAAUUAUUUGGAGUAGCUCUGGAAGUUGCAGAACUUCCUAUGUCACGAAAUUUUGUAAACCUUAUCGUUUAGAGGAAGGAAAAGUCGUAACA